UGGGGAAUUUUGGACAAUGGACGCAAGUCUGAUCCAGCCAUGCCGCGUGCGGGAAGAAGGCCUUCGGGUUGUAAACCGCUUUUGUCAGGGAAGAAACGGUUCUGGAUAAUACCUAGAGCUAAUGACGGUACCUGAAGAAUAAGCACCGGCUAACUACGUGCCAGCAGCCGCGGUAAUACGUAGGGUGCGAGCGUUAAUCGGAAUUACUGGGCGUAAAGCGUGCGCAGGCGGUUAUGCAAGACAGAUGUGAAAUCCCCGGGCUCAACCUGGGAACUGCAUUUGUGACUGCAUAGCUAGAGUACGGCAGAGGGGAUGGAAUUCCGCGUGUAGCAGUGAAAUGCGUAGAUAUGCGGAGGAACACCGAUGGCGAAGGCAAUCCCCUGGGCCUGUACUGACGCUCAUGCACGAAAGCGUGGGGAGCAAACA
RNAcentral lists this ribosomal RNA (426 nucleotides) under uncultured bacterium. RNAcentral's name for it is "bacterial SSU rRNA". It matches the Rfam family "Bacterial small subunit ribosomal RNA", at positions 355 to 774 of the family's 1533-position model. The record is from RNAcentral.